AAACCAACCGGGAUUGCCUUAGUAACGGCGAGUGAAGCGGCAAAAGCUCAAAUUUGAAAUCUGGCGUCUUCGACGUCCGAGUUGUAAUUUGAAGAAGGCAACUUUGUAGCUGGUCCUUGUCUAUGUUCCUUGGAACAGGACGUCAUAGAGGGUGAGAAUCCCGUGUGGCGAGGAUCCCAGUUAUUUGUAAAGUGCUUUCGACGAGUCGAGUUGUUUGGGAAUGCAGCUCUAAGUGGGUGGUAAAUUCCAUCUAAAGCUAAAUAUUGGCGAGAGACCGAUAGCGAACAAGUACAGUGAUGGAAAGAUGAAAAGAACUUUGAAAAGAGAGUGAAAAAGUACGUGAAAUUGUUGAAAGGGAAGGGCAUUUGAUCAGACAUGGCGUUUGCUUCGGCUUUCGCUGGGCCAGCAUCAGUUUUAGCGGUUGGAUAAAUCCUCGGGAAUGUGGCUCUGCUUCGGUAGAGUGUUAUAGCCCGUGGGAAUACAGCCAGCUGGGACUGAGGAUUGCGACUUUUGUCAAGGAUGCUGGCGUAAUGGUUAAAUGCCG
Molecule: ribosomal RNA, 544 nt
Filed under: Kluyveromyces lactis
Lineage: Eukaryota; Fungi; Ascomycota; Saccharomycetes; Saccharomycetales; Saccharomycetaceae
Description: partial 26S ribosomal RNA
Rfam family: Eukaryotic large subunit ribosomal RNA
Source: RNAcentral